Molecule: long non-coding RNA, 450 nt
Organism: Sinocyclocheilus grahami
Lineage: Eukaryota; Metazoa; Chordata; Actinopteri; Cypriniformes; Cyprinidae
Exons: 3
Source: RefSeq, a predicted model, not a curated record
UAAGACGGAAAGUGUUUGGCGUUGAGGCAUCAGGAGCAGAUGGCAAGGUCAACAGCUCCAGCAAUCCAGCGAGCAGACAGACUCAUUAACUGCCUGGCCAGGUCAGCACCAGUGAGGGGAUCUGCAUUACUGCAAAUGCUUCAUAAAGAGACUGUUAGAAACUGAGCACACACAAACACUCUAAACAAAAGAGGAAAUGUGUGGCACAGAAGUUCUGUCGGACGAUGAAAACUGCUCCUCUCGGUACACACAGCCUGCACUCCCACAAUCCAUUUCAGCUCAGACCAUAGCUUACAGCUAGAGACCAAUGGAUUAUCAAUACUGUACCAUUAAGAUGUGUUGCUUUUUGUGGAAGGAAAUGAAGAUUGACACCAUAGAGUGGCUGUGAAGAGCCCCGGAGAGCGGUUUACUUCACAAUUAAAAUGGCAGUGAUGGGAGUGAAAAAAGGAA